This 472-nucleotide ribosomal RNA is filed under the name Bacillus licheniformis. RNAcentral's name for it is "bacterial SSU rRNA". It matches the Rfam family "Bacterial small subunit ribosomal RNA", at positions 198 to 651 of the family's 1533-position model. The record is from RNAcentral. Lineage: Bacteria; Bacillati; Bacillota; Bacilli; Caryophanales; Bacillaceae.
UCAUAAAAGGUGGCUUUUAGCUACCACUUACAGAUGGACCCGCGGCGCAUUAGCUAGUUGGUGAGGUAACGGCUCACCAAGGCGACGAUGCGUAGCCGACCUGAGAGGGUGAUCGGCCACACUGGGACUGAGACACGGCCCAGACUCCUACGGGAGGCAGCAGUAGGGAAUCUUCCGCAAUGGACGAAAGUCUGACGGAGCAACGCCGCGUGAGUGAUGAAGGUUUUCGGAUCGUAAAACUCUGUUGUUAGGGAAGAACAAGUACCGUUCGAAUAGGGCGGUACCUUGACGGUACCUAACCAGAAAGCCACGGCUAACUACGUGCCAGCAGCCGCGGUAAUACGUAGGUGGCAAGCGUUGUCCGGAAUUAUUGGGGCGUAAAGCGCGCGCAGGCGGUUUCUUAAGUCUGAUGUGAAAGCCCCCGGCUCAACCCGGGGAGGGGUCAUUGGAAACUGGGGGAACUUGAGUGCAG